AUUGAACGCUAGCGGCAUGCCUUACACAUGCAAGUCGAACGGUAACAGGGAGCUUGCUCCGCUGACGAGUGGCGAACGGGUGAGUAAUGCAUCGGAACGUACCCAGUAGUGGGGGAUAACGCAGCGAAAGCUGUGCUAAUACCGCAUACGCACUGAGGUGGAAAGCAGGGGACCUUCGGGCCUUGUGCUAUUGGAGCGGCCGAUGUCAGAUUAGCUAGUUGGUGGGGUAAAAGCUCACCAAGGCGACGAUCUGUAGCUGGUCUGAGAGGAUGAGAAGCCACACGGAGACUGAGACACGGCCCAGACUCCUACGGGAGGCAGCAGUGGGGAAUUUUGGACAAUGGGGGCAACCCUGAUCCAGCCAUGCCGCGUGAGGGAAGAAGGCCUUCGGGUUGUAAAGCUCUUUCGGCCGGGAAGAAAUCGCCAUCUCUAACAUAGGUGGUGGAUGACGGUACCGGAAUAAGAAGCACCGGCUAACUACGUGCCAGCCGCCGCAGUAA
Molecule: ribosomal RNA, 500 nt
Filed under: uncultured bacterium
Lineage: Bacteria
Description: partial 16S ribosomal RNA
Rfam family: Bacterial small subunit ribosomal RNA
Source: RNAcentral